This 72-nucleotide transfer RNA is filed under the name Bacillota bacterium. RNAcentral's name for it is "Firmicutes bacterium (hot springs metagenome) tRNA-Val". It matches the Rfam family "tRNA". From Rfam's summary of the family: Transfer RNA (tRNA) molecules are approximately 80 nucleotides in length. The record is from RNAcentral. Lineage: Bacteria; Bacillati; Bacillota.
GGGCGAAUAGCUCAGCGGAAGAGCGCUUGCCUUACAAGCAAGAGGCCACAGGUUCGAACCCUGUUUCGCCCA